RNAcentral lists this ribosomal RNA (188 nucleotides) under uncultured Actinomycetes bacterium. Its description in RNAcentral is "uncultured actinobacterium partial 16S ribosomal RNA". It matches the Rfam family "Bacterial small subunit ribosomal RNA", at positions 338 to 524 of the family's 1533-position model. Lineage: Bacteria; Bacillati; Actinomycetota; Actinomycetes. The record is from RNAcentral.
CCUACGGGAGGCAGCAGUAGGGAAUAUUGGUCAAUGGGUGAGAGCCUGAACCAGCCAUGCCGCGUGCAGGAAGAAGGCCUUCUGGGUUGUAAACUGCUUUUGCCAGGGGAUAAAAUAACCAUGCGUGGUUGAUUGAAGGUACCCGGUGAAUAAGCCACGGCUAACUACGUGCCAGCAGCCGCGGUAAU